GUGGGGAAUAUUGGACAAUGGGCGAAAGCCUGAUCCAGCCAUGCCGCGUGUGUGAAGAAGGUCUUCGGAUUGUAAAGCACUUUAAGUUGGGAGGAAGGGUUGUAGAUUAAUACUCUGCAAUUUUGACGUUACCGACAGAAUAAGCACCGGCUAACUUCGUGCCAGCAGCCGCGGUAAGACAGAGGAUGCAAGCGUUAUCCGGAAUGAUUGGGCGUAAAGCGUCUGUAGGUUGUUUAAAAAGUAUUCUGUCAAAGAUUAGGGCUUAACCCUAGAUAGGCAGAAUAAACUUUUAAGCUAGAGUUUGGUAGAGGCAGAGGGAAUUCCCGGUGGAGCGGUGAAAUGCGUAGAUAUCGGGAGGAACACCAAAGGCGAAGGCACUCUGCUGGGCCAAUACUAACACUGAGAGACGAAAGCGAGGGGAGCAAAUGGGAUUAGAUACCCUGGUAGUCC
Molecule: ribosomal RNA, 450 nt
Filed under: uncultured bacterium
Lineage: Bacteria
Description: partial 16S ribosomal RNA
Rfam family: Bacterial small subunit ribosomal RNA
Source: RNAcentral